Molecule: ribosomal RNA, 253 nt
Filed under: uncultured bacterium
Lineage: Bacteria
Description: partial 16S ribosomal RNA
Rfam family: Bacterial small subunit ribosomal RNA
Source: RNAcentral
UACGAAGGGGGCUAGCGUUGUUCGGAUUUACUGGGCGUAAAGCGCGUGUAGGCGGGCUUGUAAGUCAGGGGUGAAAGCCCGGGGCUCAACUCCGGAACUGCCUUCGAGACUGCAAGCCUCGAGACCGGAAGAGGCGAGUGGAAUUCCUAGUGUAGAGGUGAAAUUCGUAGAUAUUAGGAAGAACACCAGUGGCGAAGGCGGCUUACUGGUCCUGUUCUGACGCUGAGGUGCGAAAGCGUGGGGAGCAAACAGG